RNAcentral lists this ribosomal RNA (465 nucleotides) under Vreelandella stevensii. Its description in RNAcentral is "partial 16S ribosomal RNA". It matches the Rfam family "Bacterial small subunit ribosomal RNA", at positions 338 to 795 of the family's 1533-position model. Lineage: Bacteria; Pseudomonadati; Pseudomonadota; Gammaproteobacteria; Oceanospirillales; Halomonadaceae. The record is from RNAcentral.
CCUACGGGUGGCUGCAGUGGGGAAUAUUGGACAAUGGGGGGAACCCUGAUCCAGCCAUGCCGCGUGUGUGAAGAAGGCCCUCGGGUUGUAAAGCACUUUCAGUGAGGAAGAACGCCUGGUGGUUAAUACCCAUCAGGAAAGACAUCACUCACAGAAGAAGCACCGGCUAACUCCGUGCCAGCAGCCGCGGUAAUACGGAGGGUGCGAGCGUUAAUCGGAAUUACUGGGCGUAAAGCGCGCGUAGGUGGCUUGAUAAGCCGGUUGUGAAAGCCCCGGGCUCAACCUGGGAACGGCAUCCGGAACUGUCAAGCUAGAGUGCAGGAGAGGAAGGUAGAAUUCCCGGUGUAGCGGUGAAAUGCGUAGAGAUCGGGAGGAAUACCAGUGGCGAAGGCGGCCUUCUGGACUGACACUGACACUGAGGUGCGAAAGCGUGGGUAGCAAACAGGAUUAGCUACCCGGGUAGUC